GGCACAGUGGCUCAGUGGUCAGCACUGCUGCCUCACAGCAAUUAGGUCACAGGUUCGAGUCCUGGCUGAGCCA
This 73-nucleotide transfer RNA is filed under the name Danio rerio (zebrafish). It matches the Rfam family "tRNA". Rfam says of the family: Transfer RNA (tRNA) molecules are approximately 80 nucleotides in length. Their secondary structure includes four short double-helical elements and three loops (D, anti-codon, and T loops). The record is from Rfam by way of RNAcentral. Lineage: Eukaryota; Metazoa; Chordata; Actinopteri; Cypriniformes; Danionidae.